GGGGAAUAUUGCACAAUGGGCGCAAGCCUGAUGCAGCCAUGCCGCGUGUAUGAAGAAGGCCUUCGGGUUGUAAAGUACUUUCAGCGAGGAGGAAGGCAUUGUGGUUAAUAACCGCAGUGAUUGACGUUACUCGCAGAAGAAGCACCGGCUAACUCCGUGCCAGCGGCCGCGGUAAUACGGAGGGUGCAAGCGUUAAUCGGAAUUACUGGGCGUAAAGCGCACGCAGGCGGUCUGUCAAGUCGGAUGUGAAAUCCCCGGGCUCAACCUGGGAACUGCAUUCGAAACUGGCAGGCUAGAGUCGUGUAGAGGGGGGUAGAAUUCCAGGUGUAGCGGUGAAAUGCGUAGAGAUCUGGAGGAAUACCGGUGGCGAAGGCGGCCCCCUGGACAAAGACUGACGCUCAGGUGCGAAAGCGUGGGGAGCAAAC
RNAcentral lists this ribosomal RNA (425 nucleotides) under uncultured bacterium. Its description in RNAcentral is "bacterial SSU rRNA". It matches the Rfam family "Bacterial small subunit ribosomal RNA", at positions 356 to 773 of the family's 1533-position model. The record is from RNAcentral.